RNAcentral lists this ribosomal RNA (449 nucleotides) under uncultured bacterium. RNAcentral's name for it is "partial 16S ribosomal RNA". It matches the Rfam family "Bacterial small subunit ribosomal RNA", at positions 355 to 795 of the family's 1533-position model. The record is from RNAcentral.
UAGGGAAUCUUCCACAAUGGACGCAAGUCUGAUGGAGCAACGCCGCGUGAGUGAAGAAGGCUUUCGGGUCGUAAAACUCUGUUAUUGAAGAAGAACGUGCGUGACAGUAACUGGUCAUGCAGUGACGGUAUUCAAUCAGAAAGUCACGGCUAACUACGUGCCAGCAGCCGCGGUAAUACGUAGGUGGCAAGCGUUGUCCGGAUUUAUUGGGCGUAAAGCGAUGUGCAGGCGGUCUUUUAAGUCUGAUGUGAAAGCCUUCGGCUUAACCGAAGAAGGGCAUCGGAAACUGGGAGACUUGAGUGCAGAAGAGGAGAGUGGAACUCCAUGUGUAGCGGUGAAAUGCGUAGAUAUAUGGAAGAACACCAGUGGCGAAGGCGGCUCUCUGGUCUGUAACUGACGCUGAGGCUCGAAAGCGUGGGUAGCAAACAGGAUUAGAUACCCUGGUAGUC